RNAcentral lists this ribosomal RNA (489 nucleotides) under uncultured bacterium. RNAcentral describes it as "bacterial SSU rRNA". It matches the Rfam family "Bacterial small subunit ribosomal RNA", at positions 28 to 507 of the family's 1533-position model. The record is from RNAcentral.
GAUGAACGCUAGCUACAGGCUUAACACAUGCAAGUCGAGGGGAAACGAUAUUGGAAGCUUGCUUCUGAUAGGCGUCGACCGGCGCACGGGUGAGUAACGCGUAUCCAACCUGCCCAUCACUUGGGGAUAACCUUGCGAAAGUAAGAUUAAUACCCGAUGGCAUAAUUCUUCCGCAUGGUAGAACUAUUAAAGAAUUUCGGUCAUCGAUGGGGAUGCGUUCCAUUAGGUUGUUGGCGGGGUAACGGCCCACCAAGCCUUCGAUGGAUAGGGGUUCUGAGAGGAAGGUCCCCCCACAUUGGAACUGAGACACGGUCCAAACUCCUACGGGAGGCAGCAGUGAGGAAUAUUGGUCAAUGGACGAGAGUCUGAACCAGCGAAGUAGCGUGCAGGAUGACGGCCCUAUGGGUUGUAAACUGCUUUAUAAGGAUAAAGUGGGAGUCGUGACUCUUUUUGCAUGUACCUUAUGAAUAAGGACCGGCUAAUUCCGUG